GACGAACGCUGGCGGCGUGCUUAACACAUGCAAGUCGAACGGUGAAGCGCUUGCCUUUUUGGUGGGUGUGGAUGAGUGGCGAACGGGUGAGUAACACGUGAGUAACCUGCCCUCUUCUUCUGGAUAACCUCAUGAAAGUGGGGCUAAUACGGGGUAUUCCGGGUCUGUAGCAUGGCGGGUUUGGGAAAGAUUGCGCCUUUGGGUGUUUUCGGUGGGGGAUGGGCUCGCGGCCUAUCAGCUUGUUGGUGGGGUGAUGGCCUACCAAGGCGGUGACGGGUAGCCGGCCUGAGAGGGUGGACGGCCGAACUGGGACUGGGACACGGCCCAGACUCCUGCGGGAGGCAGCAGUGGGGAAUAUUGCACAAUGGGCGCAAGCCUGAUGCAGCGACGCCGCGUGAGGGAUGGAGGCCUUCGGGUUGUGAACCUCUUUCGCCAGUGAAGCAGGCCUGCUCCUGUGUGGGUGGGUUGACGGUAGCUGGACAAGAAGCGCCGGCUAACUACGUG
Molecule: ribosomal RNA, 504 nt
Filed under: uncultured bacterium
Lineage: Bacteria
Description: partial 16S ribosomal RNA
Rfam family: Bacterial small subunit ribosomal RNA
Source: RNAcentral